Molecule: long non-coding RNA, 397 nt
Organism: Gadus macrocephalus (Pacific cod)
Lineage: Eukaryota; Metazoa; Chordata; Actinopteri; Gadiformes; Gadidae
Exons: 3
Source: RefSeq, a predicted model, not a curated record
ACUUAAAGCAACGACGGUUGAAGGGACGGCUACGGCGUUCGAGUGACACUUUGCCCACACUUUGCGCAUGUUUACAUUUCCUGCCGUUGUAGCCCAACUGUCUACUACGGGAGAGCGACUGGUUUGCCGUAUUCAAUACUACGUUACAUUUCAAGCAGAUAUGUCCUCCGUUGCCCAAGAAGAUGCUAGAACACAUGAACCUGGACUGGAGCAUACUCACCAAAUAAAAAAUUACAUUAAUUAAAUAAUAACGUAAGCAAAUCAUUUUUAGAUGACUGGUGAAUAAAUAAAACAGAAUAUAAUGCACUGUACACACAUGUCUGGACAUUGCUCUUUUUUUUAUUAAGGUGAGAUAAGGUAACAUAUACCUUAUCAUUACAUACUAUAUACAUUAUAU